Long non-coding RNA from Monodelphis domestica (gray short-tailed opossum), 773 nucleotides. RefSeq lists it as uncharacterized. NCBI's taxonomy places the organism in Eukaryota, Metazoa, Chordata, Mammalia, Didelphimorphia, Didelphidae. The record is from RefSeq and is a predicted model, not a curated record.
UUCUGAGCUGAGAGAUAGAGUGUCUUAUUGAUGGAGGCAAGAAGGACUCCAUCUUGAAUUAAAGAGAACAUGAUUGGGAGAGACAGUCACAGGAGAAGAUGAAAGGACUAAAUUCAAAAGGAAGUUUUCCUCUUUCCACCAGAAGAUAUUUACAUGUCCUGAGGAUUUCCGGCACACAGCAAGAGGCAGAAGUUGCCUUCUGUUGAUGGAAGUCAUGCCACUGACCCCUAGCAGCCUUCUCUUAAGGACUUUCACAGAAGAAGGGACCUAUCACAGCCCUAUCAAAAUAGGGAUCCUUCUUCUCCCUUGAGGCUAGAUAUCAGACAGGCACAGCAGGAGGUGGUCUUGACCCUAGACUACCCUAGGUCUUCUUGACUACAAGUCUAGCUCUUUAUUCAUUAUAUCAAACUAUUUUGUAACAAUUAAUAACAUAAUUUUCUGUUAAGAAACAGGACUGAAUUUAAACAAAAAUACUUGAUUACCAGUAUUGAGAUAAUAAGCUGCAAUAUUGAAUAUUAAAUUCAUUUGCAGAGAAAUAAUUGUAGUUUAAUAAAUAUAACAAUAGCUUACCAGGAAAAUAACAAAACAAAGCAAUGCAAAACACUCCCCAUCCCAAGAAAAAACUGUUUCUAAUUGCUACCUUAGCCUUUUGAAAUUUUCCUGAUCAAAUUUGCAGUCUAAAUAUAUAUGAAUACCUUCUAGGGGGCAUUCUUUUCUAUAUUUUUCUUAUCACAAAUCUGUGUGAAACAUGAUUAAAAGUUAUUUUUUUCUGA